ACUCCUACGGGAGGCAGCAGUGGGGAAUAUUGGACAAUGGGCGCAAGCCUGAUCCAGCCAUGCCGCGUGAGUGAUGAAGGCCUUAGGGUUGUAAAGCUCUUUUGUCCGGGAAGAUAAUGACUNUACCGGAGAAUAAGCCCCGGCUACUCUGUGCCAGCAGCCGCGGUAAUACGAAGGGGCUAGCGUUGCUCGGAAUCACUGGGCGUAAAGGGCGCGUAGGCGGACUUUUAAGUCGGGGUGAAAGCCCAGGGCUCAACCCUGGAAUUGCCUUCGAUACUGGGAGUCUUGAGUUCGGAAGAGGUUGGUGGAACUGCGAGUGUAGAGGUGAAAUUCGUAGAUAUUCGCAAGAACACCGGUGGCGAAGGCGGCCAACUGGUCCGAUACUGACGCUGAGGCGCGAAAGCGUGGGGAGCAAACAGGAUUAGAUACCCU
This 432-nucleotide ribosomal RNA is filed under the name uncultured bacterium. RNAcentral describes it as "bacterial SSU rRNA". It matches the Rfam family "Bacterial small subunit ribosomal RNA", at positions 335 to 788 of the family's 1533-position model. The record is from RNAcentral.